This 589-nucleotide ribosomal RNA is filed under the name Clostridium perfringens. RNAcentral describes it as "partial 23S ribosomal RNA". It matches the Rfam family "Bacterial large subunit ribosomal RNA", at positions 603 to 1190 of the family's 2925-position model. The record is from RNAcentral. Lineage: Bacteria; Bacillati; Bacillota; Clostridia; Eubacteriales; Clostridiaceae.
GCUUUUUGUAGAACGAGCCAACGAGUUACGGUAUGUAGCAAGGUUAAGUACUUAAGGUACGGAGCCGAAGGGAAACCGAGUCUGAAUAGGGCGACUAGUUGCAUGCCGUAGACCCGAAACCGGGUGACCUAUCCAUGGCCAGGUUGAAGCGAGGGUAAAACCUCGUGGAGGACCGAACCACGUUGCUGUUGAAAAAGCAUGGGAUGAGCUGUGGAUAGCGGAGAAAUUCCAAUCGAACCCGGAGAUAGCUGGUUCUCUCCGAAAUAGCUUUAGGGCUAGCGUCGAGUAUGAGUAGUGGAGGUAGAGCACUGAAUGGGCUAGGGGGCAUAGCGCUUACCGAACCUUAUCAAACUCCGAAUGCCACAUACUUUGAGCUCGGCAGUCAGACUACGAAUGAUAAGAUCCGUGGUCAAAAGGGAAACAGCCCAGAUCGUCAGCUAAGGUCCCAAAGUGUAAGUUAAGUGGGAAAGGAUGUGAGAUUUCUAAGACAACUAGGAUGUUGGCUUAGAAGCAGCCAUUCAUUAAAAGAGUGCGUAAUAGCUCACUAGUCGAGAGAUCUUGCGCCGAAAAUGUAACGGGGCUAAACUUA